UUCACUGUUUUGCAUCUCUUCCUAGGAGAUUUUGCAGUUGUUUGGUGUCCCUCUUCAACCCUGACCUGUGGCCUGUGCCCAUUAGGCCCUUUCAGUAAUCCAUCCAUGCCUAAGACCUCCUGGGAGGCCCCAGGUGCAUCCAGGUUGCCCAACCCAAGAAAUCACCAUAGUGUUUUACUGAACAUUGCCUGAAUCAAAAGGCUCAGUAUAGCAGCUGGAGAUAAAUCCUGAAGAAUUAACAGAAUAAAGAAUAAAAGAGAAGAAUCCUGCUCAUGGGGUUCUCCAAGCCAGAUGUGAACCCAGGCGAAAGAGCUCAGUUGCUGUCAAAUCCACAAAGAAUCAACACUGCUCACAGACGUGGGUUGUACAUUACCAGGUGUGUGGUGUGAGGAAAUGCUCCGGUGACGUGCAGAGUGACUGCUUACACAAAGGUUGAACAUUUGGCAAGUCCACGAGUACCAGAUAUUUUCCUCACAAAAGGUCAAGACCACAGCAGGAGAAAGUGCUUGUGAAUGUUGGAAAAAUUACGUAAAAAGGAUGUGUAUGUAGGGCAUUGCUUGUUAACAUGUUACGUGAUGAGCUAGUUCCUGUGAGUAUAUUGUGGAGUCUUUUAUAUUCCCUAGUGGUCAACAAAACAGUGAAUGCGAUCUGUAAUUCUGUGCUUCAGCAGUUGCACGGUAAAUGUUGCAGGUGGAACAAUCACAUUGUAAUGAAAAGUGAUGCUUUUACAUAUAACUCAUCUGUUGUGUAUAAAUAAAGCAAAUAACUUACAACUGUGAAUUAUAAGGUAUUGUAAUGUUGUAGUCAGUAUUGGGAUAUUACAGUGACAUCAUACAGAGAAAGUUGGCCUUUUUGGAUACGUGUGGAAGUGGAUCUCCUGGUACAUUUUCAUU
This is a long non-coding RNA of Seriola aureovittata, 893 nucleotides long. RefSeq lists it as uncharacterized. The record is from RefSeq and is a predicted model, not a curated record. Lineage: Eukaryota; Metazoa; Chordata; Actinopteri; Carangiformes; Carangidae. The transcript is spliced from 4 exons.